Molecule: transfer RNA, 87 nt
Filed under: Curtobacterium sp. MCBD17_040
Lineage: Bacteria; Bacillati; Actinomycetota; Actinomycetes; Micrococcales; Microbacteriaceae
Rfam family: tRNA
About the family: Transfer RNA (tRNA) molecules are approximately 80 nucleotides in length.
Source: Rfam by way of RNAcentral
GCCCGCCUGGCGGAACAGGUAGACGCAGCGCACUCAAAAUGCGCCGCCCCCGGGAGGGGCGUGCGGGUUCGACUCCCGCGGCGGGCA